GAUGAACGCUGGCGGCGUGCCUAAUACAUGCAAGUCGAGCGAACGGACGAGAAGCUUGCUUCUCUGAUGUUAGCGGCGGACGGGUGAGUAACACGUGGAUAACCUACCUAUAAGACUGGGAUAACUUCGGGAAACCGGAGCUAAUACCGGAUGAUAUUUUGAACCGCAUGGUUCAAAAGUGAAAGACGGUCUUGCUGUCACUUAUAGAUGGAUCCGCGCUGCAUUAGCUAGUUGGUAAGGUAACGGCUUACCAAGGCAACGAUGCAUAGCCGACCUGAGAGGGUGAUCGGCCACACUGGAACUGAGACACGGUCCAGACUCCUACGGGAGGCAGCAGUAGGGAAUAUUCCGCAAUGGGCGAAAGCCUGACGGAGCAACGCCGCGUGAGUGAUGAAGGUCUUCGGAUCGUAAAGCUCUGUUAUUAGGGAAGAACAUAUGUGUAAGUAACUGUGCACAUCUUGACGGUACCUAAUCAGAAAGCCACGGCUAACUACGUG
This 497-nucleotide ribosomal RNA is filed under the name uncultured bacterium. RNAcentral describes it as "partial 16S ribosomal RNA". It matches the Rfam family "Bacterial small subunit ribosomal RNA", at positions 28 to 507 of the family's 1533-position model. The record is from RNAcentral.